RNAcentral lists this transfer RNA (72 nucleotides) under Trichobilharzia regenti. It matches the Rfam family "tRNA". Rfam says of the family: Transfer RNA (tRNA) molecules are approximately 80 nucleotides in length. Their secondary structure includes four short double-helical elements and three loops (D, anti-codon, and T loops). Lineage: Eukaryota; Metazoa; Platyhelminthes; Trematoda; Strigeidida; Schistosomatidae. The record is from Rfam by way of RNAcentral.
GCGUCGGUGGCACAGCGGUAGAGUGCUUGCCUAUCAUGCAGGGGGUCCGAGGUUCAAUCCCCGGACGGUGCA